Molecule: long non-coding RNA, 1252 nt
Organism: Bos taurus (domestic cattle)
Lineage: Eukaryota; Metazoa; Chordata; Mammalia; Artiodactyla; Bovidae
Source: Ensembl
GGGCUCGUCUCAUUGGCCCCCGGGGCUCCUCAGGACCGCCCUUAUUGGCCACCUCCCACUCUCAUGGGGGCGGGGCCCAAAGUCGCUGGAGUUUUGCUCCCGGGACGGGACGUCCGAGAGAUGAGAGGCUUACGUCGAGGUGACGCGCCAACUUAAUCACACCUGACGUCACGCCUGGUCGGCUUGCCUCACUGGCCGCUGUUGGCCAGGCUGGUUUGGGGGUGUGUGGGGAGGAAUCUCCUGCUAAUUUAGGUUGCCCAGGUUGCCUGGUCUGAUUCCCUGGAGGCCGAGCCCCGCCCCUUGGGGGCUACUUGGAGCUGGGAGUGCAGGGCGAGAGACUCUCUUCCUGCGCUGGUGGUCCAUGGAGAGGGAAAUUCCCUACCCCAAAUUGGUGGUCAAGUAAGGACUUCGUUCCCGACGGCUGCUUUAGCCUUGGAGUAGGGUGUGCCUGUGAGGGAAGAUCGCAGUCACUUGUGGAGAGUCGCUCCUCAGAACUCAUCGCUUUGAUGAGCGGCUGGAACUGGGGAGGAGGAUGCUCUUCUUCGCCAUCAUUUCGCCCGAAAUUUGAAAUUAGCGAGUUGGCCCCCGGCUUUGAAGAAUUCUACUAGAUUGUGUGAAGCCUCUUAACGAACGUGAACCGGUGCCUGACGCUUUGGUGCGGUGGGCACAGCAGAAAACGGAAAUUGAAGGGUUUUCCCACGCCGUGCCCAGUUGCCAUCCCGGAAAAAUGUAUUCCGUUCCUUUGGAGUUCUCAAAAGGAGGUGUUUGAGCUGUUGCUGUUAAGUGGAGGAGACCGGCGUGUGAGGGGGUGAGGAGGCUGGGCGCACUUUCCGUUCCUCGCGACGCUCCGUGUGUGGGCGUGGCUAAAGGAAGACGCCUAAUCCCGAGCGCUCUUCAGCGCGGCGUGUGGAUCGACUGGACAGGCUUCCGGUCAGACGAUGAGUUAACCGGGGAUCAGCGACACCAGAUAUUAAAAAAGCAAACUAUUCAAAGGCAUGAAACUACUGCAAGGUCGUUUGGUUUUUUUUUUUUUUAUCACAAAAUUUUUUUUGAGACGCUUUUUUGUUUCCCUCAGAUUAUAAAACAAAUGUAUAGGCAUUUAAUCAGUGUUUCCCAUAUUUUUAAAUUGUAUAGUGCCAUUAUUUUUUUCCGGACAGGUCCAAGUGGGAGUUUUCCAUGAUUCACCUCCCGCUUUUAAUCAAUCCUCUACCAUUCAUGUACACUACCUCUUGAUUCAGACCCUUGAGCCUUA